AUUCAGCUGACGAGUCCCAAAUAGAAAGGAACACGCGUCCUGCAU
Schistosoma rodhaini is the source of this 45-nucleotide non-coding RNA. NCBI's taxonomy places the organism in Eukaryota, Metazoa, Platyhelminthes, Trematoda, Strigeidida, Schistosomatidae. The record is from Rfam.